RNAcentral lists this ribosomal RNA (433 nucleotides) under uncultured bacterium. RNAcentral's name for it is "partial 16S ribosomal RNA". It matches the Rfam family "Bacterial small subunit ribosomal RNA", at positions 29 to 507 of the family's 1533-position model. The record is from RNAcentral.
AACGAACGCUGGCGGCAUGCCUAACACAUGCAAGUCGAACGAUCCCUUCGGGGAUAGUGUCGCACGGGUUCGUAACGCGUGGGAACCUGCCCUUAGGUUCGGAAUAACUCAGAGAAAUUUGAGCUAAUACCGGAUAAUGUCUUCGGACCAAAGAUUUAUCGCCUUUGGAUGGGCCCGCGUUGGAUUAGCUAGUUGUUGGGGUAAAGGCCGACCAAGGCGACGAUCCAUAGCUGGUCUGAGAGGAUGAUCAGACACACUGGGACUGAGACACGGCCCAGAAUCCUCCGGGAGGCAGCAGUGGGGAAUAUUGGACAGUGGGCGAAAGCCUGAUCCAGCACUGCCGGGUGAGUGAUGAAGGCAUUAGGGUUGUAAAGCUCUUUUACCCGGGAUGAUAAUGACAGUACCGGGAGAAUAAGCCCCGGCUAACUCCGUG